Molecule: ribosomal RNA, 162 nt
Filed under: Bobgunnia madagascariensis
Lineage: Eukaryota; Viridiplantae; Streptophyta; Magnoliopsida; Fabales; Fabaceae
Description: 5.8S ribosomal RNA
Rfam family: 5.8S ribosomal RNA
About the family: 5.8S ribosomal RNA (5.8S rRNA) is a component of the large subunit of the eukaryotic ribosome. It is transcribed by RNA polymerase I as part of the 45S precursor that also contains 18S and 28S rRNA.
Source: RNAcentral
AAAUGACUCUCGGCAACGGAUAUCUCGGCUCUUGCAUCGAUGAAGAACGUAGCGAAAUGCGAUACUUGGUGUGAAUUGCAGAAUCCCGUGAACCAUCGAGUCUUUGAACGCAAGUUGCGCCCGAAGCCUCCAGGCCGAGGGCACGCCUGCCUGGGUGUCACA